GACGAACGCUGGCGGCGUGCUUAACACAUGCAAGUCGAACGGAAAGGCCCUGCUUUUGUGGGGUGCUCGAGGGGCGAACGGGUGAGUAACACGUGAGUAACCUGCCCUUGACUUUGGGAUAACUUCAGGAAACUGGGGCUAAUACCGGAUAGGAGCUCCUGCUGCAGGGUGGGGGUGGGAAAGUUUCGGCGGUUGGGGAUGGACUCGCGGCUUAUCAGCUUGUUGGUGGGGUAGUGGCUUACCAAGGCUUUGACGGGUAGCCGGCCUGAGAGGGUGACCGGCCACAUUGGGACUGAGGUACGGCCCAGACUCCUACGGGAGGCAGCAGUGGGGAAUAUUGCACAAUGGGCGGAAGCCUGAUGCAGCAACGCCGCGUGCGGGAUGACGGCCUUCGGGUUGUAGGCCGCUUUCGCCUGUGACGCAGCGUGAGUGACGGUAAUGGGUAAAGAAGCACCGGCUAACUACGUG
RNAcentral lists this ribosomal RNA (468 nucleotides) under uncultured bacterium. RNAcentral's name for it is "partial 16S ribosomal RNA". It matches the Rfam family "Bacterial small subunit ribosomal RNA", at positions 28 to 507 of the family's 1533-position model. The record is from RNAcentral.